UGAUGAAACAGCCGUGGUCUAUUUGGGACGUUUCAGAGUUUUCAGACCCGUGUGGCUGGCUUUGUACCUUCUGUUGCUCAUAUUUUAUUAUUAUUAUUAACUUCUUGGAGAUAACAGAAGUCAGGAGUCAGGCUUCAUAGAAACUUGUAAAUCAUCUGGUAUGAAAUGACAUUGGUUUUUCCUGAUGAGUGCAUUGUUGGAUAACACAGAAUUCACAACAUAUUUGAUAAGCUUCUCUUUCUCCCUCUUUGUGUGCAGGAGAAGUCCCACCAGUGAAUAUCUUUGCCAGCGCCCCGUCCAACAGAAACCUAGAGAAGUUCCAGAACCUGGACUGCAAGACCACACACUCCAACCUGGAAGUGGUGGAAAACUCCACCUUCGUAUUCCUGGCAACCAAACCCCAUGUCCUCCCUGCAGUCCUGCAAGAAAUAGCACCGGCCGUCCACUCCCACCACGUUGUCAUCUCCAUGGCGGCAGGCGUCACCCUCCAGACCCCUGCAACUAGAGCCCCCACAGCGUCUAUAAGUACAUGCUUCCCCAGUUUUUCAGAGGAGGGAUGUCUGUAAGUGUGGGCCAAACCACCUGUGCAGAAAGAAGAGGUUGUAGCACAUUGGGAGAGCACAUGAUCUGUAUACCGAACGACCUGCUUUCAAUUCCUGCCAUUUCCAGCUUUGGAAAAUGAAGUGUUUAAUAGGGGAUAGGGUUAAUGUCCUUUUCUGUAGAAGACCUUGCGGAGCUGAUGGUGGUCAGCCGUGAGCGUACUGAGCUUGACGGACCAACAGUGCCGCUUGGAAUAAGAGGGCCGCUUAAUAGGAUGGCUUUAUCCCAAGUCCCCUCGCUCAUCAUGAAUUGUUUCCUGAAUAGAUGCAAGCCCACAUCUAGUCUAGUUUUUCAAAAUAAUGGAGCCACCUUAGAGAUGCUGAUUGGCUAAUUGUGCUAUUCACCUGAGUCCUGAUAAAAUGCUGAUGGCGCUCAGAGGAUGCUAUCUGCACAUUUAUAAUUGGGUUACUUAAGGUUUUGCUUAAGCCGCCUAGAGUGGUCUUAAUCAACUAGAUAAGCGGGAUAUAAAAUAAAUAAAUAAAUAAAUAAACA
Molecule: long non-coding RNA, 1092 nt
Filed under: Pogona vitticeps (central bearded dragon)
Lineage: Eukaryota; Metazoa; Chordata; Lepidosauria; Squamata; Agamidae
Description: lncRNA (ENSPVIG00000003913.1)
Source: RNAcentral